This 4618-nucleotide long non-coding RNA is filed under the name Helianthus annuus (common sunflower). RNAcentral describes it as "hypothetical non coding rna". Lineage: Eukaryota; Viridiplantae; Streptophyta; Magnoliopsida; Asterales; Asteraceae. The record is from RNAcentral.
CCCACAUCGACCAGAAUAUUAAUUGAGGUGCUUGCCUGCUUGCUAUAAAUAAGAAGCUUAGGAUUCAUUUUUCUUUGCUCAUUUCUUUUCUUCUUCUCCCUAUACGUUGGUGUUCUAACCAAUAAUCACUCAAUCGCUAUUACGAUUCAUUUUCCGAGUGAUCAAUAUAUCCAAAGAAUGUCUAAGUGCCGCCCACAUUGGGUUAUACUUUGUCGUUUGUCGAUAAUUCGAUAAAUGAGUUGAAGUAUUAUACUUUGUUGUUUGUCGUUAAUUCGAUAAAUGAGUUGAAGUAUUAUACUUUGUCGUUUGUCGAUAAUUCGAUAUAUGAGUUGAAGUAUUAUACUUUGUCGUUUGUCGUCAAUUCGAUAAAUGAGUUGAAGUAUUGCACUUUGUCAUUCAUUGUGAGAAUUUGAUCUCGUGAGUUAUCGUAAAAGCUGUAUUGAUCAUUAACCCGGUUUUUGUGAAAUUCGUUAAGGUUCGAAUCUCAUGACUACCGUUAAGGUUUGAUUUGGGUUUUACACCAAUACGUAUUCCAUUCUGUUAAACUAUGUAUUUAACUACCAAGAAUACUCCCAACUACACCCUUACAAUCAAACAAACUAUUAAAUCAUCAGAAGAUCCAGAAUAAUAAAGUGCAUGCCUAAUUAUCAGAAGAAGUAGAAUCAGGAAGUUUGUUAACUCAAUCCUGCAUGCUGAUUUGUGAGUCAUUCUCUUUUUAUCAAAUAUUUUACAAUACUCCAAUUCAUUUUUCCGAGAUUAUAAUAACAGUGAUUAAGUUGAUGUAAUCACCAAAUUACAGCCAGUAUGUGGGGUAUUGUGCACAUUACUACAGUUUAAAUCAUUUUAGGUGGGCGAACCUAAUUUAAUUGAUUUACGUCAUUCAUUGGGGCAGCCAAUGGUGAUAUGACCACUGUCACAGAUCCGGUCGAGUGACAAAUACUGUGGGUAGUUGGUGGAUAUCAGAAACAUGCGUAAAAGAUCUUAGCACUGUGAAUAAUCAUAAAACGUGUCAUUUUCAGUAAAAUGAAUGAUUCACUCAGUAUUUCCCGCUGACAAAACCUUUUUAAAACGCGUUGCAGGUAAUUACAGUAGAUUGGAGUAAGGAUUGGAUCCGGCACUAAAAGACUUCAAGAAGUGGCUUAUUUUAUUAAUUAAAUCAAUUUAAGAAAUAUUGUUUCAUUAAAAGCUACCUUUGUAAAACAUGGAAUUUAUUCCAUCUUUUUAAAUAACAUCCGGUGUUUCUAAACUCUGAUAUUUUUCCUAACUCACGGUCCUGAUGAAAUUUCCGCUGCAAUGUUUUUCAAAAUAAUCACCGGUACCACUGGACUGCUCGCGGCACCGAUUCCGGCCAGGAUGGGGUCGGGGGUCGUGACAGAAGGUGGUAUCAGAGCUAAGCCACUGCUUUAAGCCUAUAAGUGUUGUGAUAACAAUACUUAAAUAAAAGAGUUAGGAGAUUGCUAUUAACUGGUAGCACAUCUGAUAGAAUUUAGACUUGAACAUAAGAAAAGAUGCCUUAGUAUAAACUAAGCCACUUGUUUAAGAGCAAGUAGGUGUUAUAAUAAUAAUACCUAAGUUUAAACGGAGAAUUAGAAACUUAAUAUUAUCUGAUAACAUUCUGAAUGAUAUUUAGACUUGAACUUAAGAAUUUUGCCUUAAAAUAAACUUUAAGGUAAAUUACUUAUAUAAGUAUAAUGUAAUGGAUACUAGUAUGUCAUAAGAGUGACGAUUAGCAGGAAAUAGUACUUAAUUGCUUCUUGCUUAUUGAUAUUAUUUGGUCUAGAAUAAGAUAUGUUAUGGAAUACAAAUUUCCUUGAUUCUGGAUAAAAGUCCUAAUAAAAGAGACACUUUAAAAUCUUGAAAAGAUACUAUUUAUGGGAAAUAGAAAAUUUUCUCCGGCAAAACUGGGUAUAGAGUAGCAGACUCUCCAGCUUGUCCGGAUAUACUGAGGUUACCACUCCGGCGCGAACCGGGUAAGAUGGGGUAUAUAAAAUGUCAAACAAGUGACAAGAUUUCCCUAAAAUAAGUAUCAUGGCCUGAUAUCAGACUUGUUUUUGAAAAUAAGAAUCUGUUAAAUACAUUAACCUUAUAAAGGGUAUAUAUGUUACAGCAUGUGAAAUAUAUGAUUAUAUAGAUAUGUAUAUCUAUAAGAAACUUCAAAAGCCAUAAACAAUUGAUAAUUAAGGAUAAAGCACAAGUAUAUGUGUCAAUAAUAAAUCUAGAUUCCUUUAUCAAAAAUCUCUUACCUAUAUCGAUAUCAAACAUUAUUUUGUUUAAUCAUCUACCUCGUAACUCGAGCGUCAACAUAAACAGUGGAAACUCUAUAAGUUGGAACACCAUCAAAAAUAUAAGAAUUACCAAUGCGUUACCAUAAAUUAUUAACGCCAUAAAUUAUGAACACAAGUAAGAACCAUCUAAAGUUGUGCUAAUGCACAAGAAAACACAUAAAACUUAAAUUAUACGUCCACAGACGUCAAAGUUUAUCACACACAAACUUCCAAGGCAAGACCUUUGAAAAAUAUAAAUUAGGCACGAUGACACCAAUCUUAAUUCCGUCGGUGAAAGUACUACUAAUCAAAAAGCGGUAUUUUGCCACAUGAUCUUACAACCGAUCAAAAUAUCGCUGAGGUACGUUGGAACAAUAUUUCACAACCAUCAAUGCACAGUCUAAUUAUAGUCAUAAUUAUUGGCACUACAAAAGAAGUCAUCUACCUUUGCAAAUCCCCUAUUUCAUUUCAUUUCAUUCGACAUUCCUUGGUAAUGUCACUUAACAAAGGUUAUCACACGAGAUUUUAGAUAAAGUUCUUAUAUUUCUUUCGUUGCAAUUCUGACUUCUGCCUAUAAAUAAGUUGACUUUCAUGUUUCUACUUCUUUUAAUGAUCAUCAUACCAUAAAGAUUUCUUUCAUAGUAGCAAAAUAUCGAUUCAUUUCAUUUCUUGGAAAAUCCACACGGUACACAUGCACUGUUUGUUGUACAUGUGGUUCAUUUGAGUUACGAAGACCAUAGGAAGGCUCCAUUCCAAUUUGUUGUUUUAUCAAAAGUUCAAACCAUUUCAUCUCAUUCGUUUGAACUUUUUGUUGAUACAUUUUGUGUGGACGCGACUCGGCUCGGUUCGACUCGGCUCGGUACGACUUGGUUUCGACUCGGUUAGGUCCGGCUCAAGCCCGACGUCACGACAUUCCUCCGUCGUGCGCCCCAGAGUUCGACACGCGAAGCACGGAGCACCACAAGCCAUGUCCCGUUUACACAUCACCAUGACAUCAUCAUUGUGAUGUCAUGGUGAUGUCAUAACCUUUGACUUAUUGAAAGUUGGCAACAGAAAGCACAUUUGGGCCAAUCAACGUCAUUUGGGUCGUAACAUCUGUAUUGGGCUUUGACUUCCUCUUGGGCUUCAGCAUGUUGACGAAACAGAAUGAUAUUAAUAUGUAUGUCGACGAGAUAAGAAUGUGUUUCGUCGACUUUGUGUGUUUCGCCAAGGCCUUUUGUGUUUCGUCAAAUGUCUAUGAGAGAUGAGCUGUGAGACUUUGAGAGAGAGUCUUUAAACAUUGUUUGUAUAUGUUUGUUCUCGGUUCUCAUCCCGUUUAAUCAAUAGAUUGUGUUUCAUUGGUUAAAUCGUGUUCUUAUUUUACACUUUGGUUGGUUUGCACCGUCACGGGGAUUCCGCACCCGUUACCGUGUUCUUGAUAAACAAGGAUAGGUUUACGUUAUCGAUCCACCGGAAAAACGGGACCUACAAUUGGUAUCAGAGCUUUGGCUCUUUUCCUUGUUUAAAACCAAACAUUGUUGGAUUUUUAUCAAGUUGUUUAUCUUAUUUUUCAGAAACUGUUAUUAUAUGAACUUUAUAUUUUCUGGAAAUUUUUAUUGAAAAGGUCAGUGAUUACAUUGUUAUUUUGCUAUAGUUUUGUUGAAAACCUUGUUUUAUUACAUAUGUGCAUGUUUUAGAGUUUGGUUUUUAUUAAAAGUAUAAGCAAAUUUGUGUUCCGAAAAGUUUGCCUGAAAUACAGAAAAUUUCUCAGGUGAAAUUUUGGCCGAAAUCUUCAAGGUGUUCUUCAUAUCUUCAAAGUGUUCAUAACUUCUUCAAAACUGCUCUUGAAGUUUGGCUGAAUUUGAUCUUAGUUUGUUAAAGUAUCGAGGUGUUUGUGACUAAAAUAAUAUUGUUUGACAAUUGUGUUCGAGUGUCAUGAUGGUCUUUUGAAAAACUUGGCUUUUGUUUGAAAAGGUAGUACUGCUCUCUGACACAAUUGGUGUUUGCUUGAAAAUUUUGGUUUUCCUUUGAAAAAUUUGGUCCUUCUCUGACACAAGAUAAGUUUAUAGAAAUAUAUAUUGUAUUGUUGUUCACCAAAUCACUAUGUCCAAGACACGGUCAAACAUUAUUGAAAUGGGCACAUUAUUUGAAAGUUGGCACAUUAUUUUUUUAAAAAAAAAAAAAAAAAUUCACCCACUAAUUUCGUCACUUGUUAUUCUUGGUCGAAAUCACCUCAUCCAGACAACUUAAAUAAGGUUUAUGUAUUAAAAAAAAAAAAAUCACGAGAAUCUUCAUAUGUGCAUGGAACUAUUUAAAGUGGACUUUGGGUAAAUAUCACCUAAAUUUGUGGGUUGGUAAUUUUGGUAGCUUGUGUA